RNAcentral lists this ribosomal RNA (425 nucleotides) under uncultured bacterium. RNAcentral's name for it is "partial 16S ribosomal RNA". It matches the Rfam family "Bacterial small subunit ribosomal RNA", at positions 354 to 796 of the family's 1533-position model. The record is from RNAcentral.
GUGGGGAAUAUUGCACAAUGGGCGAAAGCCUGAUGCAGCGACGCCGCGUGAGCGAAGAAGUAUUUCGGUAUGUAAAGCUCUAUCAGCAGGGAAGAUAAUGACGGUACCUGACUAAGAAGCACCGGCUAAAUACGUGCCAGCAGCCGCGGUAAUACGUAUGGUGCAAGCGUUAUCCGGAUUUACUGGGUGUAAAGGGAGCCCAGGCGGUUCGGCAAGUCGGAUGUGAAAGCCCGGGGCUCAACCCCGGUACUGCAUUGGAAACUGUCGUACUCGAGUGUCGGAGGGGUAAGCGGAAUUCCUAGUGUAGCGGUGAAAUGCGUAGAUAUUAGGAAGAACACCAGUGGCGAAGGCGGCUUACUGGACGGUAACUGACGUUGAGGCUCGAAAGCGUGGGGAGCAAACAGGAUUAGAAACCCGAGUAGUCC